CCGAGGACACAGAAAUUCAAAUGAAUUUAUUUAAUGUGUAUUUCAUAAAUCUUUUGUUUCGAGAAGAAAAAUGUUCAUUAUCUCAUAAUAGUUCGUCACGCUACAAGUUUUUUUGUUAGUUACGUACGACUUUAUCUUCCUUUUAUGUAAGGUCAACAGAAUAUAGAUAAAUUAAUGAAAACCAAUACUAGAAAAAUAUGUUUACUUAUACGUAUUUAGUUAGUUCCGUUCUCGACAAAGCUCAACACGGUUGGCCGUGCUUUUAUUAAACGUUCUCUGUUGUUUAAACAAACGUAAACUAAUUUUAAGCAAAAUGGCAUUACAAUUAUAUAUUAAUAUUGGGGAAUGUGUACCUGAAAGGACUCUCAAAAAUCGUACCUGUUCUUCCCUUCAACAUCUGGCCCACCCGCUACAUUUUUGAAGGACAUUGACCCAGUGAGCAAUACCAUGGAAUGGAUUACCUAUUUUAUCUUUUAAAUGCGGUUCAGUUCUAUGG
Molecule: long non-coding RNA, 496 nt
Organism: Agrilus planipennis (emerald ash borer)
Lineage: Eukaryota; Metazoa; Arthropoda; Insecta; Coleoptera; Buprestidae
Exons: 3
Source: RefSeq, a predicted model, not a curated record